GGUUUUGCUGGGAAAAGAGAGUUUUGAAAACUUUUUAGAAGUGUUCGAUUCACUUAAAGACUU
Molecule: transfer RNA, 63 nt
Filed under: Histioteuthis bonnellii (umbrella squid)
Lineage: Eukaryota; Metazoa; Mollusca; Cephalopoda; Oegopsida; Histioteuthidae
Description: tRNA-Ser
Source: RNAcentral